Candidatus Amoebophilus asiaticus 5a2 is the source of this 85-nucleotide transfer RNA. It matches the Rfam family "tRNA". Rfam says of the family: Transfer RNA (tRNA) molecules are approximately 80 nucleotides in length. Lineage: Bacteria; Pseudomonadati; Bacteroidota; Cytophagia; Cytophagales; Amoebophilaceae. The record is from Rfam.
GCCAGGGUGGUGGAAUUGGUAGACACGCAAGACUUAAAAUCUUGUGGACAAUUUGUCCGUGCGGGUUCGAGUCCCGCCCUUGGUA